Molecule: ribosomal RNA, 355 nt
Filed under: uncultured bacterium
Lineage: Bacteria
Description: bacterial SSU rRNA
Rfam family: Bacterial small subunit ribosomal RNA
Source: RNAcentral
AUUGAACGCUGGGCGGCAGGCCUAACACAUGCAAGUCGAGCGGUAGAGAGGUGCUUGCAUCUCUUGAGAGCGGCGGACGGGUGAGUAAUGCCUAGGAAUCUGCCUAGUGGUGGGGGAUAACGUUCGGAAACGGACGCUAAUACCGCAUACGUCCUACGGGAGAAAGCAGGGGGACCUUCGGGCCUUGCGCUAUCAGAUGAGCCUAGGUCGGAUUAGCUAGUUGGUGAGGUAAUGGCUCACCAAGGCGACGAUCCGUAACUGGUCUGAGAGGAUGAUCAGUCACACUGGAACUGAGACACGGCCCAGACUCCUACGGGAGGCAGCAGUGGGGAAUUUUGGACAAUGGGCGAAAGCC